Molecule: ribosomal RNA, 403 nt
Filed under: uncultured bacterium
Lineage: Bacteria
Description: partial 16S ribosomal RNA
Rfam family: Bacterial small subunit ribosomal RNA
Source: RNAcentral
AUUGAACGCUGGCGGCAGGCCUAACACAUGCCAGUCGAGCGAGCGGCGGACGGGUGCGUAAUGUAUGGGGACUGCCCGAUAGAGGGGGAUAACUACUGGCAACGGUAGCUAAUACCGCAUACUAUCGGAUAACCCAUAUGGGUUUAGCUAGUAGGUGAGGUAAGGGCUCACCUAGGCGACGAUCCCUAGCUGGUCUGCGAGGAUGAUCAGCCACACUGGGACUGUGACACGGCCCAGACUCCUACGGAGGCAGCAGUGGGGAAUAUUGCACAAUGGGCGCAAGCCGGAUUCAGCCAUGCCGCGUGUAUGAAGAAGGCCCUAGGGUUGUAAAGUACUUUCAGUCGGGAGGCGUUACCGACAGAAGAAGCACCGGCUAACUCCGUGCCAGCAGCCGCGGUAAUAC